Long non-coding RNA from Triplophysa rosa, 1068 nucleotides. RefSeq lists it as uncharacterized. Lineage: Eukaryota; Metazoa; Chordata; Actinopteri; Cypriniformes; Nemacheilidae. The record is from RefSeq and is a predicted model, not a curated record. The transcript has 4 exons.
AUUUUCUGAGCGCCACGUUCUCAUAUUUCACAGGAUUCACCAUCUAACUCCUGAGCUCCGCAUCUUGUGUUCGGAUUACGUCACGGAUGAUUGCCAUCACCUGUUACUCGUUCUGAUUCCAGGAUUCACCAUCUAACUCCUGAGCUCCGCAUCUUUUUUUCGGUGAGGCUGUACUGAGAGCGAGCUUUCAGGAUUUUUGUUCGUUUGGCUAUUUACCUCUCACCCACCACUUUGCGGCUCCUAGCUCAGGCUCUGUUUUCCAUUAUUGGAUUUAUUUUUGUUUCUGCUGUGUACCUGGAGUUCCCUGGCAUUUUUUGUUUCGGAUACUUUUGCUCUGUUGUGACUAAUAAACUGACUUAAAUGGCUUCCUGCUAUUGAGUCCCUUUUUGUUCAGUGACCGUAAUGGCGGAGAAGAUGAGAGGGGCGAUGGUAUCGUUGUGAGCCCGUUUUUGCAGGCGUUUCUUUGUUUUCUCCCGAAUUGCAGUAUAAGUGUGUUGAGCAAGUGGUAAACCGUAUGUUCCUGUCUUUCUGUAAAGUCAAAACGACUGCACAAGAAAAGCCAACAAGACGUGAGCGGACGAACUGUUGUUUUCAGCACGUGAGCACUAUUGCGCGUGAUUCAGACCGUUCAUGCGGCUCACCGAGGACUUUAUCUGAGGAUACCUGUUGCGUUAGCAAGGAGGACGGUAUCUAACGGGGGGGGGGGUUUGUGGACUGCGUGUGUGUGUGUGUUGUGGGCCCACAAACUGGUUGUUUCAUUUGAUGGAUGCUUUAACUGUUUACAUGCUAUAUUGGUGUUCAGUGUGAAACCAUAGUCUGUUAUUACAACGUGUUCUUAUUUGAAUUACAGAUUUCACAUUUUUCUGUGUCGUAAUAAUAAAGGUUUGUGCAUACGGUAUUACGUUUGGUUUGGGUGAACGUUACUGUAAUAUAUUUGUUUGUGCUUAUGGGAGUAAGUGAGUGUCUAGAGUUCAAAGCUCAUUUUUUGGGUUUAUAUUCGAGGUGAACAAGACUCAAACAACAGCCAUAGUGUGCGAUAUCCCUUUAUUCAAGCUUUAAGUGAACUGA